Molecule: small RNA, 929 nt
Filed under: Pongo abelii (Sumatran orangutan)
Lineage: Eukaryota; Metazoa; Chordata; Mammalia; Primates; Hominidae
Description: retained intron
Source: RNAcentral
GUGUGUCGAGGGGACCCUGUGGUUAGCAGCAGCUAUCGCAGCGUCGGAUGUUCAGAGCAGCAGAAGGCGGCGUCGUCGGAUGUUGUGUUGCCCGCCACCAUGAGCUACACAGGCUUUGUCCAGGGAUCUGAAACCACUUUGCAGUCGACAUACUCGGAUACCAGCGCUCAGCCCACCUGUGAUUAUGGGUAUGGAACUUGGAACUCUGGGACAAAUAGAGGCAAGUGUCAUUCCUGUGAUUGCUGUCCUGUCCCUUGGGGUUGUUCUGGCUGUGUUUCUCUGCUGCUGCCCCACUUGGCCAAGGUUGGGACUGGGGAGGGGGCACGUUUCUGGGGUUACCUACUCCUUAACAGGAGGCCCUCAUCAGAAUGACCAGGGCCCAUCUGGCCUCAGUGGCUAGGGUCUUCUCUCUCUGUGACAGAAGAUACCCUUGUAUCUGUGUUUGUCUCUGUCUCUGUCUGCCUCCCCUCUGCCUGCCCCCACCAUCUGUCUGUCUCUGUCUCCCUCACUGCAGGCUACGAGGGCUAUGGCUAUGGCUAUGGCUAUGGCCAGGAUAACACCACCAACUAUGGGUAUGGUAUGGCCACUUCACACUCUUGGGAAAUGCCUAGCUCUGACACAAAUGCAAACACUAGUGCCUCGGGUAGCACCAGUGCCGAUUCCGUUUUAUCCAGAAUUAACCAGCGCUUAGAUAUGGUGCCGCAUUUGGAGACAGACAUGAUGCAAGGAGGCGUGUACGGCUCAGGUGGAGAAAGGUAUGACUCUUAUGAGUCCUGUGACUCGAGGGCCGUCCUGAGUGAGCGCGACCUGUACCGGUCAGGCUAUGACUACAGCGAGCUUGACCCUGAGAUGGAAAUGGCCUAUGAGGGCCAAUACGAUGCCUACCGCGACCAGUUCCGCAUGCGUGGCAACGACACCUUCGGUCCCAG